GACGAACGCUGGCGGCGUGCUUAACACAUGCAAGUCGAACGGAAAGGCCCUGCUUGCAGGGUGCUCGAGUAGCGAACGGGUGAGUAACACGUGGGUGAUCUGCCCCUUACUUUGGGGUAAGCCUGGGAAACUGGGUCUAAUACUGGAUAGGACCAUGCUGUAGGUGGUGUGGUGGAAAGAUUAGUUUCGGUAAGGGAUGAGCUCGCGGCCUAUCAGCUUGUUGGUGGGGUAAUGGCCUACCAAGGCGUCAACGGGUAGCCGGCCUGAGAGGGUGGACGGCCACAUUGGGACUGAGAUACGGAACAGACUCCUACGGGAGGCAGCAGUGGGGAAUAGUGCACAAUGGGCGCAAGCCUGAUGCAGCGAAGCCGCGUGGGGGAUGACGGCCUUCGGGUUGUAAACUCCUUUCAGCCAUGACGAAGCCCUUGUGGUGACGGUAGUGGUAGAAGAAGCACCGGCUAACUACGUG
This 469-nucleotide ribosomal RNA is filed under the name uncultured bacterium. Its description in RNAcentral is "partial 16S ribosomal RNA". It matches the Rfam family "Bacterial small subunit ribosomal RNA", at positions 28 to 507 of the family's 1533-position model. The record is from RNAcentral.